AACGAACGCUGGCGGUAUGCUUAACACAUGCAAGUCGAACGAACAAAAUUGGGGCUUGCUCCAAUUUUAGUGAGUGGCAAACGGGUGAGUAACACGUGGGAAUCUACCUAUCAGUACGGAAUAACAUUUGGAAACAGAUGCUAAUACCGUAUAUUCUCCAAGGAGGAAAGAUUUUAUCGCUGAUAGAUGAGCCCGCGUAAGAUUAGGUAGUUGGUAGGGUAAUAGCCUACCAAGCCGACGAUCUUUAGCUGGUCUGAGAGGAUGAUCAGCCACACUGGGACUGAGACACGGCCCAGACUCCUACGGGAGGCAGCAGUGGGGAAUAUUGGACAAUGGGCGAAAGCCUGAUCCAGCAAUACCGCGUGAAUGAUGAAGGCCUUAGGGUUGUAAAGUUCUUUUAGUUGGAAAGAUAAUGACGGUACCAACAGAAAAAGCCCGGCUAACUCCGUG
This 450-nucleotide ribosomal RNA is filed under the name uncultured bacterium. RNAcentral describes it as "bacterial SSU rRNA". It matches the Rfam family "Bacterial small subunit ribosomal RNA", at positions 29 to 507 of the family's 1533-position model. The record is from RNAcentral.